GGGUUUUAGGGUCAGGACCCAGGGUUAGGGUUUUAGGGUCAUGGCCCAGGGUUAGGGUUUUAGGGUCAGGGCCCAGGGUUAGGGUGAUUUCCAGGAAGUGACCUCACAGUGACUCAAGCUACCACUUACUGUUGAUUGUGAUGAAAUGCCAGCUGAGGCACAUGCCUUGGGGGCUAAGUGGUUGCUGCCCUUGACUACUAUGAAGACUGGUGUGGGAAGGGUCACUUUGGAUGCACUUGAGCAGGGUUCCCCAACCCCUGAGCCAUGGAGCCGUAAGGAGCCACACAGCAGGUGAGUGGUGUCGAGUGAGGGAGUGAGGGAAGCUUCGUCUGUAUUUACAGCCACUCCCCUUUGCUCACAUUCCCACCUGAGCUCCACCUUCUCAGAUGAGCAGCAGCAUUAGAUUCUCAUAGGAGAACGCACCCUGUUGUGAACCGUGCAUGUGAGGGAUCUAGGUUGCGCUGUUCUUAUGAGAAUCUAAUACCUAUUGAUCUGUCACUUUCUCCCAUCACGCUCAGGUGGGACCAUCCAGUUUCAGGAAAACAAGCUUAACACGCCCACUGAUUCUACAUUAUGAUUCUUCAGGCCCAGCGUCUGCCUCACUGUGGACCCCCCAAGCCAAGCUCCCAACCUUUCAGCAGCUUCUACACACCCAGCUCCCGCCUGCCAGUGGCCUCUUCAGGCCCAUGGUGCUCAUUCCUCACAACAGCCUUUCCAGUCCCAGUUUUUCCCUUCCGGCGGCCUCUCCGGGCUGAGAACCUCCUCAAGUCGGCCUCUCCAGACCCACUUGCACCCUCCAGGCGUCCUCUCCGGGCGAAGCUCCUCUUCCUGGCUGUGUCUCCAGGCCCGACUCCUGCCUCUCAACAACGUCUUUGGACUCAGUGCCUACCCAUCUCCUGGCGUCCUUGGUCGGCCCACAGCUUCCUCAAGCCAAGCUCCCCAGGCCCAGGUCAGGCCUCACGGUGCCCCCUCCACGAUGAGCUCCUGCCCUCCAAUGGCACCUGCAGGCCCCAAAUGGUCUCCGGUCGGUGGGCUCCUCCACGCCAAGCUUGGGCCUCCCGGUGACCUCUGCAGGCCCAAGUUGUCCUGAAGUCAGCAUCUCCCAGCCGUGCCUCCCAGCAAGUAAGCAAGCUCUUUUGGCUCAACUCCUGCCCAGCUCCCAACCGCCUUUGUAGGUCCCGAACUUUCUCCAGCCAAGUUCUUUGGGCCUCAUUCCUGCCGCCCGGUGGCCUGUACGGGCCCAGCAAUGGUUGGAGAACGGCCUCUGCAGGUCCCGCUCUUGCCUCCCAGGGGCCUCUCCAGGCCCAGCUCUCGCCCCCACGGCGGCCACCCGGGGCCAAGUCCCUGCCUGCCUCCCAGCAGCCCGCAUGCGGCCCAGCUCCUCCCUCACGGUGGCCUGUUGAUGCCCAUGCCUCUGGUACCCUGCCCAGAGGCAUGAGCCCCUGCCACACACUGGCUCCUCCCACGCUGAGAGAGGUCAGCGUGAGCCCUUGCCUCACACCGGCCCCUCCCACGCUGAGAGAGGUCAGCGUGAGCCCCUUGCCUCACAUCGGCCCCUCCCACGCUGAGAGAGGUCGGCGUGAGCCCUUGACUCACACCGGCCCCUCCCACGGUGAGAGAGGUCAGCGUCACCCCCUUACCUCACACCGGCCCCUCCCACGCUGAGAGAGGUCGGCGUGAGCCCUUGCCUCACACCGGCCCCUCCCAUGGUGAGAGAGGUCAGCGUCAGCCUCUUGCCUCACACCGGCCCCUCCCACGCUGAGAGAGGUCGGCGUGAGCCCCUUGCCUCACACCCGCCCCUCCCACGCUGAGAGAGGUCGGCGUGAGCCCCUUGCCUCACACCGGCCCCUCCCACGCUGAGAGAGGUCGGCGUGAGCCCUUGCCUCACACCGGCCCCUCCCACGCUGAGAGAGGUCAUCGUCAGCCCCUUGCCUCACACCGGCCCCUCCCACGCUGAGAGAGGUCGGUGUGAGCCCUUGCCUCACACCGGCCCCUCCCACGGUGAGAGAGGUCGGCGUCAGCCCCUUGCCUCACACCGGCCCCUCCCACGCUGAGAGAGGUCGGUGUGAGCCCUUGCCUCACACCGGCCCCUCCCACGCUGAGAGAGGUCAGCGUGAGCCCCUUGCCUCACACCGGCCCCUCCCACGCUGAGAGAGGUCAGUGUGAGCCCUUGCCUCACACCGGCCCCUCCCACGGUGAGAGAGGUCGGCGUCAGCCCCUUGCCUCACACCGGCCCCUCCCACGCUGAGAGAGGUCGGCGUGAGCCCUUGCCUCACACCGGCCCCUCCCACGCUGAGAGAGGUCAGCGUGACCCCCUGCCUCAACAGGCCACCGUGAGGGAGGAGCAGGGUCGCACGCGGGCUGCUGUGAGGCAGGCAGCGACUUGGGCCUGGGAGGUCGUGGUGGGGUGAGAGCUGGGCUUGGAGACUCCCCUGGGAGGCAACAGCGGGGCCUACAGACUCUGUUCUCCAGCCGGAGCUGGGACUGUUCAGGUACUGGGAGGUGGGAUGUGGGUCUGAAGAGCUUGGUUGCAGAAACUUCGGGGUCUACAAACGCAGGCGGGAGCUGAGCCAAAAAAGGUUGUUUGCUGGGAGGCGGGAGAUGCAGCCAGGAGAAACAGCUCUGCCUGCAGAGGCCGCCAUGCGGGAGGCGGAGGCCGGGCCUCCUCAAAUCGGCCUCUCCAGACCCACUUGCAGCCUCCCGGCAUCCUCUCCGGGCCCAGCUCUUCCUCCCGGCUGCGUCUCCAGGCCUGACUCUGGCCUCCCAACAACGUCUUUGGACUCAGCUCCUGCCCAGCUCCCAGCAGGCCCAAGUCGUCGUCAAGUCGGCCUGGAAUUGGGCCCGGAAGAGCAGCAAGUCGGCCUCCCCGGGCCCAGCUCCGUCCUCUCGGCGGCCUCUCCAGGUGCAAAACUUCCUCGAGUCAGCCUCUCCAGGCCCCGCUCCUCCUGCCUCCCAGUGGCCUCUUUCAGCCCAGACCAGCUCAUGGCUCUUGGCGGCCUUCCCAGGCCCCGCUUUUGACUUUUGGUGGCCUCUUCAGGCCCAGAACUUGACCUCCAGUGGGCCUUUGCAGGCCCGGCCUCCUGCCUCUCGAAGGCCUGCACGGGCCCGGACUCACAGCGGACUCACAGCGGACUCUCCAUGCCCAGCUAGCUCUCGCCUCAUUGCGGCCUCCCGAGUCCAAAGCUCCUGCCUCUCGGCCGCUUCGGCAGGCCCAGCUCCCGCCUGCCAGUGGCCUCUUUAGGCCCAGCUCAUUCCUCACAACGGCCUUCCCAGGCCCCGUUUUUCCCUUCCGGCAGCCUCUUGGCCUCUAAUUUGUUUAUCUUUUGUGUAUAAAUCCCAAAAUAUUGAAUUUUGGAAUAUUUCCACCAUUAUGUAAA
Molecule: long non-coding RNA, 3377 nt
Organism: Gorilla gorilla gorilla (western lowland gorilla)
Lineage: Eukaryota; Metazoa; Chordata; Mammalia; Primates; Hominidae
Exons: 3
Source: RefSeq, a predicted model, not a curated record